RNAcentral lists this ribosomal RNA (497 nucleotides) under uncultured bacterium. Its description in RNAcentral is "partial 16S ribosomal RNA". It matches the Rfam family "Bacterial small subunit ribosomal RNA", at positions 28 to 507 of the family's 1533-position model. The record is from RNAcentral.
GAUGAACGCUGGCGGCGUGCCUAAUACAUGCAAGUCGAGCGAACGGACGAGAAGCUUGCUUCUCUGAUGUUAGCGGCGGACGGGUGAGUAACACGUGGAUAACCUACCUAUAAGACUGGGAUAACUUCGGGAAACCGGAGCUAAUACCGGAUAAUAUUUUGAACCGCAUGGUUCAAAAGUAAAAGACGGUCUUGCUGUCACUUAUAGAUGGAUCCGCGCUGCAUUAGCUAGUUGGUAAGGUAACGGCUUACCAAGGCAACGAUGCAUAGCCGACCUGAGAGGGUGAUCGGCCACACUGGGACUGAGACACGGUCCAGACUCCUACGGGAGGCAGCAGUAGGGAAUCUUCCGCAAUGGGCGAAAGCCUGACGGAGCAACGCCGCGUGAGUGAUGAAGGUCUUCGGAUCGUAAAACUCUGUUAUUAGGGAAGAACAUAUGUGUAAGUAACUGUGCACAUCUUGACGGUACCUAAUCAGAAAGCCACGGCUAACUACGUG